Dioscorea cayenensis subsp. rotundata (Guinea yam) is the source of this 107-nucleotide small nucleolar RNA. NCBI's taxonomy places the organism in Eukaryota, Viridiplantae, Streptophyta, Magnoliopsida, Dioscoreales, Dioscoreaceae. The record is from RefSeq and is a predicted model, not a curated record.
AACCCAUGUUGAGGACAUUUCUGCAGGAGCUCUUUUAACCUAUACCAUGUCUCUAAAAGAGACUCCAAUUCCAUUUGCAUAAAGGAGGAUAUAUCAUUAUGGAGCUU